This 7951-nucleotide long non-coding RNA is filed under the name Brassica rapa (field mustard). Its description in RNAcentral is "long non-coding RNA (BRAP_LNC007416)". Lineage: Eukaryota; Viridiplantae; Streptophyta; Magnoliopsida; Brassicales; Brassicaceae. The record is from RNAcentral.
UUAGCGUACCAGAUCCCAACGUAACGUAAAUGACCAGUGGAGUUUACAGGAGUGAAGAAACCGAACCUGAAAAUACCAUUGUUGCUGAGAAGUGUCUCUGAGUCUUUGACCGGAGUCGAGAAGGUGAUACUGUCCUGGCCGAAACAGAAUGUUGCAAGUAGAAGUAGAACAAGAAAACAACGUCUGCUGAGUAGAGUCACCAUAACUAUUUGACAAGGAAUGGUGUUAAAUUUGCUUUGUUGUUUCUCUUUUGGAAGAGUUUCAUCUUAAAGAGAGGCCAAUUAAUAAAGUAGUCAUCUUUGUCUCUAUUAGAAGACUUUGAAGAAGUUUUUGGUGCAGACAAAAUUUGAAAUGUGACAAAGAAAGCGACAGGAGUCACAGGACUACUCACGUUAGCCGACUUGUAUUUUUCAUCUCUUGAGUAAAAAUUGUUUACUUGCAGAAGUAACCUAAUCAAUAUAGCAAACCAACCCAAAACAAAAAAAAAACGAUAAUAAUGUCUCAAGACAGAACCUACUCUGGCUUCUCAAGAACAUGUGUCGGUUUUGUUUUUCUGCUUUUAUUCAGAUUCAGUUUCUUCAUCGAGGUUCGUUAAUGCAUCUCAGAGUAGGUCCAGUACUAGAAUCUAUUGAAAUAAUCGACACAGCUCCCUUUCACAUAAAGUGUUUUUAACUGAGGUAAAUAAAAAACCAAAUCUGUAGUUAGUGAAUCUGAACAUAACUUCUCUGAAAUACAUCUCUUAUUCUUUAAUCUAACAAUUAAACAUGCGCAAGAUAACAAAAAUUUGGGAACAUAGGAGUUUCAUAUAAAUAUAUUAAAUAAACAUACAGAAUGGCUUAUGUGAGCUUAACGUCCGGUAACAGCUGUGAGGCUAACAUCGUUGAUAGAGACCUUUUGGCUGCUCUGGCCAGAAGAUUCAGCCUCAAAAACUCUUCUUGUUGCUAUAAAUGCAGGCUGCUUCGGCUCAGGGAGGUUAGUGUUCUCGGUAGUUAGCAUCCAAAUCAUGGUUGACACAUUUGGUCUAUCGCUUGCAACUUCUUGCACACACAACAAACCAAUCUGAAUACACUUUGUAAACUCUUUCUCAAAACAUUCAUCAAAGACGGUUGGAUCUGCUAGAGAAGCAGCCUCACCAUCAUUCCAUAGCUUCCACGCCUUUAAAAAGAGACCAAACUUAAAUAAGUUUCAAAACAUAAGCAUAAGUUACUAAACAUUGAUUCGUACACUUACAUAAGCUAAAAGGUUUAGAUUGUUGUCUUCCUUGUGGGAGUUUUUUUUCCCACUUAUGAUCUCUAGAAAUAUAACUCCCAAGCUGAAAACAUCUGAUUUUUCUGAAAAGAAACCUUCCAUUGCAUAUUCCGGUGACAUAUACCCGCUGCAAAAAACAAAAACAAAAUUUUCAUUCAAGUUGUUAAGGUAAAAGUAACAAUUCUUGUUGGAAAUGGAUACUUACUAUGUCCCAACAACCCUUGUUGUGUUAGCUUCAUCUUCAUUUGCUCGGAAAACUCUUGCAAGUCCAAAAUCAGAUAUCUUCGGAUUCAGAUCGUCAUCUAACAAAAUGUUGCUGGCUUUUAGAUCUCUGUGUAUGAUCUUUAGUCUUGAAUCUCUGUGAAGGUACAAAAGACCUCUGCAAAUCCCUUCCAUUAUGUUGAACCGAGUCUUCCAAUCAAGAAUAUUUUGCUUCAUUGGGUCUGAGAGAAGCUAGCAAAAGCAUUAGAAUUCUCUUCAAGUAAACACAGAGUUAAGAAACAGAGGAGAUAAGUUUACCAAAUAGAUAGGCAUCCAAGCUUUUCUUUGACAUGUAUUCAUAUACUAAUAACCUUUCUUCACCUUCAAUGCAACAUCCAAGUAACUUCACUAGAUUCCUAUGUUGCAACUUUGAAAUCACAACCACUUCAUUCAAUAGUUCCUCAAGUCCUUGUCCUGAUGCCCUUGAGAGCCUCUUCACUGCAACUUCUUGCCCAUUUGGCAAUAUUCCCUGAAGAAAAAUAUUACCAGUCACUUAACCUUGUAUGAGAUUAUCAUAAGUAUUCUUGUUUAGUUCAUUUACCUUGUAAACAGGACCAAACCCGCCUUGCCCGAGCUUGUUUAUGAGCGAGAAGUUAUCGGUUGAUGUAGCCAACACUUCAAACUCAAAAAGAGGAAGAUCUUUGAGCUUGACUUGGUUAGAAGCAGACUCGUUACCACUUGUAAGAUCUUCCAUUCUUUGAAACAAUAGCUCUGCACUUCUAUUUUCCUCUGGUGCUGGUGCUGCAAUGCAAAGGCAAUGAUUAUUAGAGACAAAGUCUCCCACAUCAGUAGUUGGAAGGGAUCCUUAGUACUCCUUCUGUUUCAUAUUACUUGUGGUUGUAGGGUAAAAUUUUUGUUUCAAAAUAAAUAUCCUUUUAUAAUUUCAAUGCAAAAUUUAUUGAUUUUAUAUUUUUAUUUAUUUUUUAAUUGGUUGAAAUGUGGUUAGGUGUAUUGGUAAUGAUGUCUUUAUCUAGUUAAUAUACAAAAUUAAAUGUUUUCUUAAUGUGUGUGCCGAAGUUUAAAACGACAAGUAAUCUGAAACGAAGGGGUCAAUCCAGUUAUCACCAAAACUUAACAAUGAUCAAUGAAACAAACAAUCUGAAGCUAUCUUUAUGGAGUAAACAAAACUUUAACCUGGACGCCUUUUAAAUUUCCUGCAUGCCAAAAGAACACAGACGGCUGCAACAAAAACAAUGCCUAGCACGGAUGCUGUGACCAUAACCGUUCGCUUACUAUGUGUUUCUACAAUGAGAAAUCAUAACUUUAAUGAAGUCAAAAUGAAUGGAGAAGAAGAAAACAAAUGAGAAUAUUAGAGUUUAUUUUACUUACUGAAUUCGGAAUGCGAAACCCGAAUAUAGAGAUCAAUACCACUCCCCAAAAGUGAUUGCAUAUCAACUAAGCUACCACUCCAAAGCAUGCAGCCAAUUCCUCGGUCAUAAGCAUAAGCAGUGCAAGAACAGUUAUCUAAACAAACUUUAGGACAAUCCUUCUCAUUAGCUACAGACUUCUCCACAUUUGCUGGUAAUUUCAUCUUCUGCAUUUUAAAAAACCUAUCUCCUUUUCCUCCACCACCAGUACUUACAUUGCACUUCAAUGGAACUCUUCUCACACAUUCAUUAGUAAAGAUCCCUCGGUUCCACUCUGUGCUAUUCCUAGGCACAUACCCUUUCACGCAUUUACAAGGCGGAACUUCCUGUAAACCGCAGCUCGCGAACGGACCACAUCUAUUGUACGCAUCACAAGUUGUUGAUGGAAUAAUGGCGUCGACCGUCCAAGCUCUCGUGGAAGUGUUCCAGCUUCUCAUGUAGAGAGCUCCGUCAGGAUCCAAGUUAAAGUGAUGCAUGAAAGAGUCAGUAGCAUAAGAGAUUAAAAACGUUCCUUGGUUAGCAUUGGAAACGUUGAACCCAUCAAGAAACAGGAGAGAUAUCGAAUCCGGUAAACCGAUGAAAAUCUGACCGUUCCACGGUCCGCUACGCCAGACUGGGACAUUGCUCUUCCAGAUAAGAAGCUGAGGAAACGUGGAAAGGGAAAUGCCAGCUGUAUAGUUCCCUGUGGAAGGAUCUGUAUAGCUUCUCCAUGAAGUAAGCUUUAGAUUCUCGCCGGUUUUGUUGUUGGUCCCAAUAGUCAUUACUGGCAAGAAAGAGUUAUAAGGAUGCUUGAAACUCUCCCACAGGAUCUCACCGUUGUCUUGUAACCUAAGAUUCCCAUUAUCCAUUAGCUGAACCGAAGUAUCAUUUGUAGCCACUGGUACUGUGAUGUUUGUCGACCAUAUAAGGCGGCUUCGACCAUCGGUAACCACGAGGUUUCCGUCUUCAGAGAUUGAAACAAGACCAGAAGUGUCGUUGAUGGGUGUGUCCUUGUUAGCAACCCAAACCACAGUUUGAACUUGAACCUUAUCGUACCAGAUCCCAACGUAACGCAACCGUGUAGUGGAGUUUAAAGGAGUGAAGAAACCGAACCUGAACAUACCGUUGCUGCAGAGAAGUGUCUCUGAGUCUUUGACUGGAGUUGAGAGCGUGAUCCUGUCCUGGCCGAAACAGAACCUUACAGAGAAGGAAGAGAAUGAUGUAAGAAGUAUAAGAACAAGAAAACAACGUCUGUUGAGUAGAAUCACCAUAAUGGUUCCAAAUUUUCUUUGUUGUUUCUCUUUGGAAUAUUUUCAUCUUAAGAGAGGUCAAUUAAAUAAAGUAGUCUCUACAAGAAGACUUUGAAGAAGUCAGUAGUGGAGUUGGUGGAGAUAAGAUUUGAAGUGUAACGAAGAAAGUAAGAAGACUAACUGCGUUAGAAGACUUUCAUCUCUUGAGUAACUUUAAUGACUUAUGAAGUGUAUAUUUCUGUUAAAACGUAUGUAUUACACUCACUACAGUAUACCGUAAGUGAGCCCAAGUAUUUAUAGUAGAGUAACAAUCACAACGGUCUAACAACCUCAUUGUAACGACCCAACGGCUUAACUAACUUGUAACUAACUGAUCCACGUCAGCUUCUCUUUCUUCCCUUUCUCUGUCCCACCAGUUCCUCUAUUCCUCACCAUUGUUUUCCUUCAGAGCUUAUCAACUUGUUUACUUGCAGAAGUGACGUAAUAAAUAUAGCAAAGCAACCCAAAACAGAAAACGAUAAUAAUUUUCUCUGUCAAGACAGAACCUACUGUGGCUUUUCAAGAGCAUGUAUCAGGUUUUGGUUUAUAUGAUUUUCUUCAGAAUCAGAUUAGUUAAUGCAUCACAGAGUAGGUCAAGUUAGGUACUAGAAUCUAUUGAAAUUAUCAACCCAGCUCACUUUCACAUAAAGGAGUUUUUAACGUGAGGUAAAUAAUACCAAAUCUGUAGCUUGUGAAUCUGAACAUAACUUCUCUGAAAUACAUCUCUUAAUUCUUUAAUCCAACAAUUAACAUGUGCAAGAUAACAAAAUUUGCAAACAUAGGAGUUUCUCAAAACAUAUAAUACUAAAUAAACAUACAGAUUGGCUUUUGUGAGCUUAACGUCCUGUUAUAGCUGUGAGGCUCACAUCAUUGAUAGAGACAUUCUGACGACUCUGGCCAGAAGAUUCAGCCUCAGAAACUCCACUUGUUGCGAUAAACGCAGGCUGCUUCGGCUUAGGGAGCUUCAUGUUCUCAGUAGUUAGCAUCCAAAUCACGGUUGAAACAUUUGGUCUAUCGUUUGCAACUUCUUGCACACACAACAAACCAAUCUGAACACAUUUUGUAAUCUCUUUCUCAAAACACUCAUCAAAGACAAUUGGAUCCGCUAGAGAUGCAGCCUCACCUUCAUUCCAUAGCUUCCACGCCUUUGAAAAGAGACCAAACUUACAUAAGUUUCAAAGCCUAAUCAUAAGUUAUUGAACACUGAUUAGUGUACUUACAUAAGCUAAAAGGUUUAGAUCAUUGUCUUCCUUGUGAGAAUUUCUUCUCCCACUUAUAAUCUGUAGAAAUAUAACCCCCAAGCUGAAAACGUCUGACUUCUCUGAAUAUAAACCUUCCAUUGCAUAUUCCGGUGACAUAUAACCGCUGCAAUAUAAACAAUCUCAUUCACACUGGCUAUGAUACAACCGAAUUUCACAAUGUUUGUAGUACAUUUUCUUGUGAAUGGAUACGUACUAUGUUCCAACAACCCUUAUUGUGUUAGCUUCAUCUUCAUUCACUUGAAAAACUCUUGCAAGUCCGAAGUCAGAUAUCUUCGGAUUCAGGUUCUCAUCUAACAAAAUGUUGCUGGCUUUUAGAUCUCUGUGUAUAAUCUUUAGUCUUGAAUCUCUGUGAAGGUACAAAAGACCUCUGCAAAUCCCUUCCAUUAUGUUGAACCGAGUCCUCCAAUCAAGAAUCUUUUGCUUCAAUGGGUCUGAGAGAAGCUAACAAAAGCAUUAACUUCUUCUUCAAGUAAAAAACAGAGUUAAGAAACAGAGGAGAUAAGUAUACCAAAUAGAUAGGCAUCCAAACUUUUCUUUGGCAUGUAUUCAUAUACUAACAACCUCUCUUCACCUUCUAUGCAACAUCCAAGUAACUUCACCAGAUUCCUAUGUUGCAACUUUGAAAUCACAACAACUUCGUUCAAAAGUUCAUCAAGUCCUUGUCCUGAUGCCCUUGAUAGCCUCUUCACUGCAAUUUCUUGCCCUUCUGAUAAUACUCCCUGAAGAAAAAGAUUACCAGUCGCUUAUUCCGUGAUAGUCUCUUUUGAAAAUGGAUUCUUCAUUAAUGCAUUUACCUUGUAAACAGGACCAAAGCCGCCUUGCCCGAGCUUGUUUCCCAGAGAGAAGUUAUCUGUUGCUGUAGCCAACACUUGAAACUCAAAGAGAGGAAGCUCCUUGAGAUUUGCUUGGUUAGAAGUAGGCUCAUUACCACUUGUAAGUGCUUCCAUUCUCUGUAACAAUAUCUCCGCACUUCUAUUUUCUUGUGGUUCUGCUAAGACAAUGAUGGACUAAGCAAACAAGCUUUUGGUAAAAGAAACAAUCUAACGAGUAAACAAAACUCUAACCUGGACGCUUUUUGAAUUUCCAGCAUGCUAUAAGAAUGCAAACCGUAGCAGCAAACGCAACACCUAGAACAGGUGCUGUGAUCAUAAUAAGUACUCGCUCGCUAUGUGUUUCUACAAAAAGUUAGGUGAAAGAUAUAAGUUAAUGAAGAGUAAAACAAGUGAGACUUAGAGAUUUUUACUCACUGAGUUCAGAAUGUGCAAGUCGAAUGUAAAGAUCAAUGCCACUUCCCAAGAAUGAUUGCAUAUCUACCAAUUCACCACUCCAAAGCAUGCAUCCUAUUCCUUGAUCAUAUGCAUAAGCUGUGCAAGAACAGUUAUCUAAACAAACCUUAGGACAAGCUUCCUUAUUGGCUUGAGACGGUUCCACAUUAACUGGUACUUUCAUCUUCUCCAGUUUCAAAAACCCAUCUCUUUUUCCUCCACCAUUACCACUUCUAUUCCCAAGUCUUUGGCACCGUAAUGGAGCUCUUCUCACACAUCCAUUCAUCCAAUUCCCUGCAGUCCACUCUGUGUUAUUCCUUGGCACAAACCCUUUUACACAUUUACAUUGUGGAUCUUCCCCGGGAUUGCAGCUCCCAUAUGGACCACAUCUACUGUAUGAAUCACAAUCUGUGGAUGGAAACCUAACACCGACUCUCCAAUCAUUCAUAGAAGGUCUCCAAUCUCUCUGAUAUAUAGCUCCGUUAGGAUCCAAGGUAAUGUGAUACAUGAAAGAAUCAUUUGCAUAGGUCAAUGAAACCAUUCCUUGGUUAUCAUUGUUAAGGUUAAGCCCAUCAAUGUUCAGAAGGGUAUCCAUAUCCGGUAAACCGAUGAAUACCUGACCGUUCCAAGGACCGCUACGCCACUUUGUAACAUUGUUGUACUUGGUUAGAAGCUCAGGAAACGGGAAAGGAACAAGACUAACUGUGUAGUUCCCUGUUGAAGGAUCUACAUAGCUUUUCCAAGAAGUAAGUCCUAGAUUCUCUCCGGUUUUGAGGUUGGUCAUAAGAUUCAUUCUUGGCAACAAAGUAUUGUAGUUAUGCUUGAAACUCUCCCACAGAAUAUCUCUGUUGUCUUGUAAUACAAGAUUCCCAUUAUCCAUUAGCUGAACCCAUGUAGCAUUUGGAGACACUGAUGCUGUAACGUUGGUCGACCAUACAUGGCGGUUUUGACCAUCCUUAACCACGAGAUUUCCUUUGCCAGAGAUCGAGAUAACACCAUAAGUGUUGUUGAUGGGGGUGUCUUUGUUAGCAACCCAAACAACAGUUUGAACUGGAACCUUAUCGUACCAGAUCCCAACAUAACGUAAAUGACCAGUGGAGGUUACAGGAGUGAAGAAACCGAACCUGAAAAUACCAUUGUUGCUGAGAAGUGUCUCUGAGCCUUUGACCGGAGUCGAGAAGGUGAUUCUGUCUUCACCAAAAGAGAGCCUUACAGAGAAGCAAGAGAAUGCUGCAAGUAGCAGAAGAAGAAUGUGACGACGUGCGUUUAGUAGAACCACC